RNAcentral lists this ribosomal RNA (1370 nucleotides) under Salmonella enterica subsp. enterica serovar Typhimurium. RNAcentral's name for it is "partial 23S ribosomal RNA". It matches the Rfam family "Bacterial large subunit ribosomal RNA", at positions 605 to 1874 of the family's 2925-position model. The record is from RNAcentral. Lineage: Bacteria; Pseudomonadati; Pseudomonadota; Gammaproteobacteria; Enterobacterales; Enterobacteriaceae.
CUUUUGUAUAAUGGGUCAGCGACUUAUAUUCUGUAGCAAGGUUAACCGUAUAGGGGAGCCGGAGGGAAACCGAGUCUUAACCGGGCGUUAAGUUGCAGGGUAUAGACCCGAAACCCGGUGAUCUAGCCAUGGGCAGGUUGAAGGUUGGGUAACACUAACUGGAGGACCGAACCGACUAAUGUUGAAAAAUUAGCGGAUGACCUGUGGCUGGGGGUGAAAGGCCAAUCAAACCGGGAGAUAGCUGGUUCUCCCCGAAAGCUAUUUAGGUAGCGCCUCGUGAAUUCAUCUCCGGGGGUAGAGCACUGUUUCGGCUAGGGGGCCAUCCCGGCUUACCAACCCGAUGCAAACUGCGAAUACCGGAGAAUGUUAUCACGGGAGACACACGGCGGGUGCUAACGUCCGUCGUGAAGAGGGAAACAACCCAGACCGCCAGCUAAGGUCCCAAAGUCAUGGUUAAGUGGGAAACGAUGUGGGAAGGCCCAGACAGCCAGGAUGUUGGCUUAGAAGCAGCCAUCAUUUAAAGAAAGCGUAAUAGCUCACUGGUCGAGUCGGCCUGCGCGGAAGAUGUAACGGGGCUAAACCAUGCACCGAAGCUGCGGCAGCGAACGUAUCACCCAAGACAACUUUACGGAGUUGACGAUUGACGGAGCGAAGCGACGUCAAAGCGUUCAUUAAAGUCGAGUUGGCUUAGGGAUACGUUCGUUGGGUAGGGGAGCGUUCUGUAAGCCUGUGAAGGUGUGUCGUGAGGCAUGCUGGAGGUAUCAGAAGUGCGAAUGCUGACAUAAGUAACGAUAAAGCGGGUGAAAAGCCCGCUCGCCGGAAGACCAAGGGUUCCUGUCCAACGUUAAUCGGGGCAGGGUGAGUCGACCCCUAAGGCGAGGCCGAAAGGCGUAGUCGAUGGGAAACGGGUUAAUAUUCCCGUACUUGGUGUUACUGCGAAGGGGGGACGGAGAAGGCUAUGUUGGCCGGGCGACGGUUGUCCCGGUUUAAGCGUGUAGGUGUGUGUUCCAGGUAAAUCCGGUUCACUUUAACACUGAGGCGUGACGACGAGGCACUACGGUGCUGAAGCAACAAAUGCCCUGCUUCCAGGAAAAGCCUCUAAGCAUCAGGUAACACGAAAUCGUACCCCAAACCGACACAGGUGGUCAGGUAGAGAAUACCAAGGCGCUUGAGAGAACUCGGGUGAAGGAACUAGGCAAAAUGGUGCCGUAACUUCGGGAGAAGGCACGCUGACACGUAGGUGAAGUGAUUUACUCAUGGAGCUGAAGUCAGUCGAAGAUACCAGCUGGCUGCAACUGUUUAUUAAAAACACAGCACUGUGCAAACACGAAAGUGGACGUAUACGGUGUGACGCCUGCCCGGUGCCGGAA